This 253-nucleotide ribosomal RNA is filed under the name uncultured bacterium. RNAcentral describes it as "partial 16S ribosomal RNA". It matches the Rfam family "Bacterial small subunit ribosomal RNA", at positions 524 to 776 of the family's 1533-position model. The record is from RNAcentral.
UACGUAGGUGACCAGCGUUGUCCGGAUUUACUGGGCGUAAAGAGCGAGCAGGCGGUCGUUCAAGUCGAGUGUGAAAGCCCCCGGCUCAACUGGGGAGGGUCACUCGAUACUGAUCGACUGGAAGGCAGGAGAGGGAAGCGGAAUUCCCGGUGUAGUGGUGAAAUGCGUAGAUAUCGUAAGGAAGACCAGUGGCGAAGGCGGGUCUCUGGACAGUUCCUGACGCUGAGGCACGAAGGCCAGGGGAGCAAACGGG